Panicum virgatum (switchgrass) is the source of this 1309-nucleotide long non-coding RNA. RefSeq lists it as uncharacterized. The record is from RefSeq and is a predicted model, not a curated record. The transcript is spliced from 2 exons. Lineage: Eukaryota; Viridiplantae; Streptophyta; Magnoliopsida; Poales; Poaceae.
CUUCCUUUUCUUGAUCUACGGAAAUUCCUAUAUUUGGCGUGGCUGCCUUCGUGCCUGUCACGUUGCAAUCGAGGCUGUCUCCCUGUCCAAGUAGGUCCGGCGGAUCUCCCGCACCGUCCGCCUGACCAUCGCUCUCCGCCGCCGUCUCGCCGCGCGGGCUCCUCCUGCCUGCCUUCGUGCUCCCCGCAUCUUUUGAGGCCCACGCUUGAUUUGGUUCCUCUGUUCUGUAUUUUUAUUUUUUCUAUGAUUUAUAAUGCAUGCUGUAUGCGUAUUGACUGGAGAGCUAUUGGUAGCAGGUAUUAGCAACUUUCUUUCCUUUUCUUAAUCUAGCUGUCCUUUGUUCCCAUACAUGUUCUGGUCGCACCAAAUCCAGGUUUAUGAAUGUGAAAUUGCAGGUUAUCUAACACACACUGUAUUUAUGACUUAUGUUAAGAAGUCUUGUUAGUUUAGAGAUUAGUUUGCUAUUACUCUCAAGGGUUGGAGUCCUAUGUUUGAUUGAUUCUACUUCACAUAAACUUGUCACAUUAUGUUCAGUUAAUUACUUCUUUGAUACUAUGAAAAAGAUAUAGCAUACCAUUGUAGAUGCUGCUUGUGCUUCUUUCUGCUAUAGCUGAUGCUGAUAUAAAUGCUCCUAGCUACAUACCCUUGCAUAUUUUUGCUGGCAGUUCUUGCCAUGUGCUUGUGAUGAUGUGAUUUAAGGAUCUGAUUAUGAAAGCUCUGAUUCUUAACAUUUAUAUGGUUAAGACAUAUUGCUUUCUGCAUAAAAGUAUCCAUCUUCUUUCUAAUCUAAUUUUUGACUGAAUAUUUACUGUCCCUAUACUGUUUGUUGGAUACUCCUAGAAUGAAUAUUUCAAUUAAUGUAAUGGCUAUAUGCAGAGUCUAUGGCCCUCCUAACCUUCUCUUGGAAAUGAAGCUGCUGGGCCAAGGGUGUAAUGGCUACAUGCAGAGUCCAUGUCCCUCCUGACCUUUUCUGGGAAAUGAAGCUGCUAGGCCAAAGUAUUUCCUUGCUUCACUCGAAACAUUGAUGGAACUGCCUAAUGAGAUAUAUCAGUUAUAGGAUUGUUGUACUCACCCUUUCUAUUAUAAUGUAAAUCCUGCCAGCAAGAUUGUAUUUAGUUCCUGCUCAUUUUUUUCUUCCUUUCUUUUUUUGCCCACCACUUCAUUCAUUCUUAUUUACUUCAGUUAGCAUAAUCUGUACCUCCGUGAUGCACUACGAUAUGAGUAGUGUUUUCAGAUGUGUAUAUUGUACCAAAACAAUAGCCGAUUGCAAGCUGACAGUUAUGAAACUACUCUUGUAGUGUUCAGGUUU